AUACGUAGGGGGCGAGCGUUGUCCGGAAUGACUGGGCGUAAAGGGCGUGUAGGCGGCCGAUUAAGUCUGGAGUGACAGUCCUGCUUUCAAGGUGGGAAUUGCUUUGGAGACUGGUUGGCUUGAGUGCGGUAGAGGUUAGUGGAAUUCUCAGUGUAGCGGUGAAAUGCGUUGAGAUUGGGAGGAACACCAGUGACUAAGGCGCGUUACUGGGCCGUAACUGACGCUGAGGCGCGAAAUCGUGGGGAGCGAACAGGAUUAGAUACCCUGGUAGUCCACGCUGUAUACGAUGAAUACUAGGUGUAGGGUGUAUCGACCCCCUCUGUGCCGACGUUAACACAUUAAGUAUUCCACCUGGGGAGUACGGCCGCAAGGCUGAUACUCAAAGGAAUUGACGGGG
This 397-nucleotide ribosomal RNA is filed under the name uncultured bacterium. RNAcentral's name for it is "partial 16S ribosomal RNA". It matches the Rfam family "Bacterial small subunit ribosomal RNA", at positions 523 to 918 of the family's 1533-position model. The record is from RNAcentral.